UACGUAGGGGGCUAGCGUUGUCCGGAAUCAUUGGGCGUAAAGCGCGCGUAGGCGGCCCGGUAAGUCCGCUGUAAAAGUCCAGGGCUCAACCCUGGAACGCCGGUGGAUACUGUCGGGCUAGAGUCCGGAAGAGGCGAGUGGAAUUCCUGGUGUAGCGGUGGAAUGCGCAGAUAUCAGGAGGAACACCAAUUGCGAAGGCAGCUCGCUGGGACGUUACUGACGCUGAGACGCGAAAGCGUGGGGAGCAAACAGG
RNAcentral lists this ribosomal RNA (253 nucleotides) under uncultured bacterium. RNAcentral describes it as "partial 16S ribosomal RNA". It matches the Rfam family "Bacterial small subunit ribosomal RNA", at positions 524 to 776 of the family's 1533-position model. The record is from RNAcentral.